Long non-coding RNA from Aphis gossypii (cotton aphid), 682 nucleotides. RefSeq lists it as uncharacterized. The transcript is spliced from 3 exons. The record is from RefSeq and is a predicted model, not a curated record. NCBI's taxonomy places the organism in Eukaryota, Metazoa, Arthropoda, Insecta, Hemiptera, Aphididae.
AGGAAGAUAAGUCUCAAAGGUACGACUGUACGAGUAUAUUAUUAUUACUGUAUCACUAUUUUUUAUAAAUUUUUUUCGCUUACCACAUGUUAUUUAUCUUACGAAUCAAUUGCAGUUACUAUGUAAGACUAUAGUAAUAAACCAAAAUUAUAAAAAAAAAAAAAAAAUAAUUAAGAAAAUAUUAUAAUACUAUAUUACUUUUUAAUGAACCUAUCUGCAUCUGCAAAUGGUAUCAAACUAUCCAAAUAAACGUCAUUGUUUGUUGAUCAAUUAACUAUGUAUAAUACAAUAUAUUCGUCGUUUAUUUAUAGUUUGGUGACGAUACUAUGACAGUACCACUCGGCACACCUUCGUAUAACUAGCUCUAGGUACAACCUGAAUUCAACCGGGAAAAAAUGAAAAAAUGUAAAAUACGAGAUACGAUACUAUAUCGAUUUCAGUUCAUGAGAAAAUUAACGUUUGUGUAUCUUGCUUUGUCAACUAAUUCAAUCGAGAUGUGCAAUCAGACAUUGUCGGAUUAAGUAGAUUUAACUUAUACAUAAGUUCAUACAAAUCAUCACUUAUUAUUGUAAAGCUCUUUGAAGUAAGAAUAAACCAAUAAACUGAUAUCACAUCAAUCAUCAACAUUAAGAAAAACGAAUGUCUAUAAAUGUUACGAAGAUAAUAUUUCAUAUUAAUUCAG